AAUGGGCGAAAGCCUGACGCAGCGAUGCCGCGUGCGGGAUGAAGGCCUUCGGGUUGUAAACCGCUUUCAGCAGGGACGAAAUUGACGGUACCUGCAGAAGAAGCCCCGGCCAACUACGUGCCAGCAGCCGCGGUAAUACGUAGGGGGCGAGCGUUGUCCGGAUUUAUUGGGCGUAAAGAGCUCGUAGGCGGUUCGAUAAGUCGGAUGUGAAAUCUCCACGCUCAACGUGGAGAGGCCAUUCGAUACUGUCGUGACUCGAGUCCGGUAGGGGAGUGUGGAAUUCCCGGUGUAGCGGUGAAAUGCGCAGAGAUCGGGAGGAACACCCGUAGCGAAGGCGGCACUCUGGGCCGGUACUGACGCUGAGGAGCGAAAGCGUGGGGAGCAAA
This 386-nucleotide ribosomal RNA is filed under the name uncultured bacterium. RNAcentral's name for it is "bacterial SSU rRNA". It matches the Rfam family "Bacterial small subunit ribosomal RNA", at positions 370 to 772 of the family's 1533-position model. The record is from RNAcentral.